This 483-nucleotide ribosomal RNA is filed under the name uncultured bacterium. RNAcentral describes it as "partial 16S ribosomal RNA". It matches the Rfam family "Bacterial small subunit ribosomal RNA", at positions 29 to 506 of the family's 1533-position model. The record is from RNAcentral.
AUUGAACGCUGGCGGCAUGCUUUACACAUGCAAGUCGAACGGCAGCGCGGGCUUCGGCCUGGCGGCGAGUGGCGAACGGGUGAGUAAUACAUCGGAACGUGCCUAGUAGUGGGGGAUAGCUCGGCGAAAGCCGGAUUAAUACCGCAUACGACCUGAGGGUGAAAGCGGGGGAUCUUCGGACCUCGCGCUAUUGGAGCGGCCGAUGGCAGAUUAGCUAGUUGGUGGGGUAAAGGCCUACCAAGGCGACGAUCUGUAGCUGGUCUGAGAGGACGACCAGCCACACUGGGACUGAGACACGGCCCAGACUCCUACGGGAGGCAGCAGUGGGGAAUUUUGGACAAUGGGCGAAAGCCUGAUCCAGCAAUGCCGCGUGUGUGAUGAAGGCCUUCGGGUUGUAAAGCACUUUUGGCGGGAACGAAAAGGACUGUGCCAAUACCACGGUUCGAUGACGGUACCCGCAGAAUAAGCACCGGCUAACUACGU